UGCACCUACGGGGCGCAGCAGUGGGGGAUAUUGCACAAUGGGGGAAACCCUGAUGCAGCGACGCCGCGUGAGUGAAGAAGUAUUUCGGUAUGUAAAGCUCUAUCAGCAGGGAAGAAGAUGACAGUACCUGAGUAAGAAGCCCCGGCUAACUACGUGCCAGCAGCCGCGGUAAUACGUAGGGGGCAAGCGUUAUCCGGAUUUACUGGGUGUAAAGGGAGCGUAGGCGGUUUAGCAAGUCAGAAGUGAAAGCCCGGGGCUCAACUCCGGGACUGCUUUUGAAACUGUUGAACUAGAUUGCAGGAGAG
RNAcentral lists this ribosomal RNA (305 nucleotides) under uncultured bacterium. Its description in RNAcentral is "bacterial SSU rRNA". It matches the Rfam family "Bacterial small subunit ribosomal RNA", at positions 335 to 656 of the family's 1533-position model. The record is from RNAcentral.